UUGAUCAUGGCUCAGAUUGAACGCUGGCGGCAGGCUUAACACAUGCAAGUCGAGCGGAGAGAGGUAGCUUGCUACUGAUCUUAGCGGCGGACGGGUGAGUAAUACUUAGGAAUCUGGCUAUUAGUGGGGGACAACAUUUCGAAAGGGAUGCUAAUACCGCAUACGUCCUACGGGAGAAAGCAGGGGAUCUUCGGACCUUGCGCUAAUAGAUGAGCCUAAGUCGGAUUAGCCAGUUGGUGGGGUAAAGCCUACCAAGGCGGCGAUCUGUAGCGGGUCUGAGAGGAUGAUCCGCCACACUGGGACUGAGACACGGCCCAGACUCCUACGGGAGGCAGCAGUGGGGAAUAUUGGACAAUGGGGGGAACCCUGAUCCAGCCAUGCCGCGUGUGUGAAGAAGGCCUUAUGGUUGUAAAGCACUUUAAGCGAGGAGGAGGGUACUGGUAUUAAUACUACCAGGUACUGGACGUUACUCGCAGAAUAAGCACCGGCUAACUCUGUGUCAGCAGCCGCGGUAAUACAGAGGGUGCGAGCGUUAAUCGGAUUUACUGGGCGUG
RNAcentral lists this ribosomal RNA (554 nucleotides) under uncultured bacterium. Its description in RNAcentral is "bacterial SSU rRNA". It matches the Rfam family "Bacterial small subunit ribosomal RNA", at positions 13 to 562 of the family's 1533-position model. The record is from RNAcentral.